AAAACAUAGCCUAAUGACUUUUAUAUAUUAGGUGAAGUCUGCCCGGUGAUUAUAUUUUAACGGCCGCAGUACUUUGACUGUGCUAAGGUAGCAAAAUAAAUAGGCUUUUAAUUAAGGUCGAGUAUGAAUGGCAUUAUGGGUGAAAGCUGUCUUAUACAUAUAAUAAUAAUUUACUUAGUGGGUGAAAAUACCCACAUAAAAAUAUUAGACGAGAAGACCCUUAGAGUUUUAAAUAAGUGUGUAACUAAUGUGCUAUAGUUUUUUGUUGGGGCGACAUAGUACCAGAUAGCGUACUAAAUAAUAUUUUACAAAUAUAUCCCAUAAAAAUGAAUAUAACUACCUAAGGGAUAACAGCAUAAUUUUAUUUUAAGAUUGUGACCUCGAUGUUGGACUAGGGACUAAAUAUAUAAGUCAUAUAUUUAGAAUAUUCUGUUCGAAUAAUUUUUACCUACGUGAUCU
This 459-nucleotide ribosomal RNA is filed under the name Arion ater rufus. RNAcentral describes it as "partial 16S ribosomal RNA". It matches the Rfam family "Bacterial large subunit ribosomal RNA", at positions 1810 to 2606 of the family's 2925-position model. The record is from RNAcentral. Lineage: Eukaryota; Metazoa; Mollusca; Gastropoda; Stylommatophora; Arionidae.